Non-coding RNA from Oryza glumipatula, 203 nucleotides. The record is from Rfam. Lineage: Eukaryota; Viridiplantae; Streptophyta; Magnoliopsida; Poales; Poaceae.
AAUAAGUGUAAUCGUAAGUUUACGCGUACAACUUUAAUCGUCCGUCUUAUUUAAAAUUUUUUAUGAUGAGUAAGUAUUUUUUAUAUUAAAUUAUGAAACAUAAAUAGAACUUUAUGCGUGAUUUAUGUUUUUUAGAUUUUUUUAAAAAAUUAAAUAAGAUGGACGAUUAAAGUUGUGCACAGAAACUUAUGGCUGCGUUUAUU